UUUGGGAUUUUCUUGGCAGAGAUACUGGAGUUGUUUGCUAUUUUCUUCUCCAGAUUAUUUUGCAGAUGAAGAAAUUGAGGCAAACAGAGUUAAGUGACUUACCCAGUGUUACACAGCUAGUAAGGGUCUAAGCCCAGAUUUGGAUUCAUGUCUUCCUGAUUCCAGGUCUGGUAAUUAUUAUCCACUGAUCCACUUCUGAUAAAUAUUACCUAUUUGAACCUGGGAAGCUUUAACCUCUUUGUGCCACAAAUAACACUUCUAAAAUAAGGUGCAGAACCGUAACUACCGUGUAUUGUUAAAGGAGUUUACUAUAUCAGUGAAAUUAUAGAUUUGGACCAAAAAAUAUCUUAAAUAAGGAUUGAGAUUUCUGUGUGGUUACAAGACAUGAAAAAAGAUCUUGAACUCAGAAUUCAAAAUCCUAAUUCUGGAAUUUAAUUGAUGUUCUCUGGUCAUGGGCAAAUAAGUCAGUUAAAUUCUUUAAGCCUUAGUUUUCAUCUGUCAAAUGGGGAGAAUUAUAUAUAUAUCUAUAUUGCCCACCUCACAGAGUUUAUGAGGAAAGAGCUUUAUGAGCUACAUAAAUUUGUUAUUAUUAAGUCCUUUUCUUCAGCAAUACUGAAGAGGAUGUGCAAAUAUUAUUCCUGUUUUGCAGAUAAGAGACACAACAGAACUGAUUUGCAUCGGGUCACCUAAUAGUAUGUGUGGCACUAGAACUCAGGUCUUCUAAUUUUAGGCCCAGGGAUAUUACAUUUAACAAAAUUAGGAUUUUCCUCCUUGCCUCAAACAAGCCCCUAAAUUUAUGUGAAGAUCCUGGAGUACAGAAGUGAAUCCCCACCAAGGGCUCUCUGAAUUAUUGUCUUUUCCCUUGACUGGGAAUAGUCUUCCAGUCCACCGUUUUAGCAGUGUGCCCUUUAUUACAAUCCACCCCACGGGGAAGAAGUCUGGAAACCGGUACUAUUCUAGACAGGUGGCCUUACACAUCCCCUGUAGAGGCUACUCUCAAGCAGCGCCCCCUAGCGACAGUGCGUCCUCUUAAGAUUUUUGAGCAGGCAGGUGGAGCUAAUGUAAGAACGAAAGGUCAGCCCACGCCUGCGGGAAGUUCGAGAGAAAUCACGAUUGUGCAAAUAGAUGUCCCAUGCAACAUAGCAUGGGGUUGAAACCAUCUGGCCAAGAUCCGUCUGUCCUUAGGGAAGAGGAAAAGACUGGAAGGGGGAGGAAGUGGGCAAUCCUGGAGAGAAAAUCAAGAAAACUUGGAAUUUACGGGGGAAUAGAAUUAAUCUUGGGCUAACCCAAGUCUGGCCAGCGAGUAACGCUCAUCGAAAUCUGAACGUCAUAAUUGUUUCACUCUGGCUUCAGAAUCAUCCCCUUUCCAUUCCCCACUUCAAAGAUUAUUCUGGGGGAGGAAAGAAACAAGGGAUACAGUCCCUCCAAGAGUGCUAAUCUGGACUGGGCACUUGUAACCUUGAAUUGUAGGGGGUACACCCAAACAAUUUUGAUUUUACAUUUUUUCCGAUGCUUUAUUGUGGCAUGACCAUUAUCCUCAAGUUCUGGCAGCUCCUACCAAUUUGGAAAGACUAGAUUUAGAAUUGAAUAGGAUCCUUAGAAACCAUCCUUUGUUUUACAGGUGGGAAAACUGAGGCACCCCCAAAGGGGAAAUGAACUAUCCAAGAUCAUUCAGCUGGCAAGCGUUAGAGCCCAAAUUAGAAUUUAUAUUCUGUCUCGGAAAGCAGAGUUCUUAUCAUUGACUCAAACUGAUAUUUUAAAUAAUGUAUUGAUUAGAGAUAAAGCAAAUUGGAUAAAAAAUGUAGAAGACCAGACGAUUUGGAUUCUAAAUUUAGCCAGAGAUUUCUCCUUGAUUCUGACUCUGGGCCUGACUUUAUAAGAGUAUGGGAUCUAUUGAUCAUAGGAUCGUAGGAAUACAGAUUUUGAGAUGAAAGGAACCUCAGAACCCGUUAGUUCCACUCUCUCGUUUUACAGAUGAGUGCGGGGAGUUGGUCAUUUGUCCAAGGCUACACAGGUAGUAAACGUAAGAGGAUACAUUUGGAUCCAAAUCCUCUGAAUCCAGUCAGUGUUUCCCCCUCCUUCCUCCCUCCUUUUCUGCUUUCUAUUAGUCUCAAGCUUCUAGUGGAGUCCGGACGGCAGCUGGUCUCGGCCAGUGAGCCUGGCCAGGUGCGGGACCUGGGGCGGUGAGGCAGCGGUACACUGGGCAGCGGAGGGGAGGGCAGGGAUAGGGAGUCAGGCGGUGGGAGCUAACGGGUUGGCGCAGAUGAACUUAAGUGCGAGAGGUUUGGGCUCUUGGUUCUGCCGCUCCGUCUUCCACAUGGGACUCCGCAGACUGUCCUGAGAGGGGCCAUGGCACUGGGUUUUCUGCUCUCGGCGCUGCUGCUGCUGCUGCCCUCCUUUGGUAAGGCACCCACGAUAUGCUGAAGCACUCACCGUAUCCCUCUGCAACGCGCCUUCUCUCUGUCCGCUCUUCCACGUCGGUCCUCCAGCCUCGAGCCCCCAAGGGACUUCAGACAAGGCUCGAGAUGCCCAGGUAGAAUGCCUUCAAGUAUACCGCGGAUUCUCUGCUUGUGUAUUGCAGCUAGGAAACAGCAUGGCUGAGGCAAAGGGACUGUCCGCAGUGUGUGGGUACUGGGAAGAGUUUCAUGCCUGUGCCCUGACUACCCUCCAGGACUGUGAAGAGGAAGCUACUCUAAUCUGGGAGACAUUAAAAAAGGAAUUUAGAAAUCUUCAAUUUCCUGGGAACUUGUUUGAGCUAUGCAGCCCUAGGGGUUCUGGUGGGCCAGGCCCUUUAUUCUUUUUACCCUGGCACCUGCUGGGCACUGCCUUGUUCCUUCUUUGGUUCUAAGCAAGCCUGGGUCAGUGCAUGGAACCUACCUCCCUGAGCCAAACCCUCUCUUGUCAAAAGGAAAGAUCUUUUCCUGCCAUGUUCUAAGCCACUUGAUCCAAUAUCUAAUCCUAACAGGUGAGAGUCCUACCAUCCACUGGUUUCCUGCCUAGGUAGAUAGUAUCACUUCCCCCUACCAGAAUACAUACUGAGAAAAGAACCUACUUGUAUCUUUUACAAUUAAUUAAAAACCUUCCUGUGAUGCAGA
This is a long non-coding RNA of Antechinus flavipes (yellow-footed antechinus), 3095 nucleotides long. RefSeq lists it as uncharacterized. The record is from RefSeq and is a predicted model, not a curated record. NCBI's taxonomy places the organism in Eukaryota, Metazoa, Chordata, Mammalia, Dasyuromorphia, Dasyuridae. The transcript is spliced from 3 exons.